Molecule: unclassified non-coding RNA, 366 nt
Filed under: soil metagenome
Description: partial contains 5.8S ribosomal RNA, internal transcribed spacer 2, and large subunit ribosomal RNA
Rfam family: 5.8S ribosomal RNA (bases 1-120)
Source: RNAcentral
GAUGAAGAACGCAGCGAAAUGCGAUAACUAAUGUGAAUUGCAGAAUUCCGUGAAUCAUCGAGUCUUUGAACGCACAUUGCGCCCCCUGGUAUUCCGGGGGGCAUGCCUGUCCGAGCGUCAUUACAACCCUCAAGCCCGGCUUGUGUAAUGGGCGGCCGUCUCUCCCCCCGGGGGGGGACGCCCCCGAAACUCAGUGGGGAUGUCGCGAUACCGAAGCCUCAGCUAAUGGGUAAACCACAGCUGCAAUGGCCGCGGCCGGCGUCCGCCUUCCACGGUCCGUCCGCCUAGCGCGGGCGGCCUUCUCAAGGUUGACCUCGGAUCAGGUAGGGAUACCCGCUGAACUUAAGCAUAUCAAUAAGCGGAGGA